CAAGCGUCCAUACAUGUCUCUGUAACCUGCAUAUAGACUGCAUAGAAUAGUCAAGUCAUGCUAGGUACAGCCUGUACAGUACUAGUUCUCCACCGGAUCUUGCGAAGUGCAGCCAGGAAGCUCAAUAGAUUCCACGUCGCUAAGACUCUCCGCACUUUGACUAAACACUAUCUGUAGUCGUGGAAACGUGCCUCUCCGGUUGGACAUCAAGCAGAGAGACUGGAGCAGAUGACAUGCAGAUCCACGUGUUUAACUACAACACUCUGGAGAGAGCUCACAUGUUUGAUGCCCACUCUGACUACAUCCGCUGCAUCGCAGUUCACCCAACACAACCUUACCAGCAGCGCUGUAGGACUGAGACAGGAAGUGGUUGUGUAGUCAGGUGUUCGAGGGCCACACCCACUAUGUCAUGCAGAUCGUCAUUAACCCUAAAGACAACAACCAGUUAUCCAGUGCCUCCCUGGACAGUACCAUUAAGGUGUGGCAGCUGGGUUCUUCCACCCCUAACUUCACUCUGGAGGGCCAUGAGAAAGGAGUCAACUGUAUCGACUAUUACACUGGAGGGGACAAGCCCUAACUUGUAUCAGGAGCUGACGACCGCCUGGUCACGAUCUGGGACUACCAGAAUAAGACAUGUGUGUGCAGACUCUAGAGGGCCAUACCCAGAAUGUGUCCUGUGUCAGCUUUCACCCUGAGCUGCCAAUCAUCCUCACUGGCUCCGAGCACGGCACCGUGAGAGUCUGGCAUUCCAGCACGUACCGCCUGGAGAACACACUGAACUAUGGGAUGGAGCGUGUGUGGUGUGUGUGUAGCCAGCGAAGCGCCAAUAGUGUGGCGCUGGGAUAUGAUGAAGGCAGCAUCAUCAUCAAGCUCAAGGAUGAUCCAUGGGAGAGGCUGAGAUACAGGGCGGAGAGAGGCUGUCCCUGUCCCUGGCCGUCAAAGACAUGGGCAGCUGUGAGAUCUACCCCCAGACCAUCCAGCACAACCCCAACGGCAGGUCAGUGUGUGCGUGUGUUACCAUGCUUGUGUUUGUGUGCAUGUGUGUACUAGUUGCUCAUCAAAUGUAAAAAAGUGUAUAUAUAUAUAUAUAGUACAUGUACAGUAUUCUAUAUAUACACACAGUAUGUAAUUUAGCUUAGCAGAUGCUUUUAUCCAAAGCUACUUACAGUCAUAUGUGCAUGCAUUUUUAUUUAAGGAUGGCCCCGGGAAUCGAACCCACAAUCCUGGUGUUGAAAGCAUCAUGCUGUACCAACUGAGCCUUACAGGACCAUUAAUAUACAGUAAAUGUGUGUGUGUCAGUGGAGGCUGCUGAGGGGAGGACGG
Oncorhynchus mykiss (rainbow trout) is the source of this 1323-nucleotide non-coding RNA. Lineage: Eukaryota; Metazoa; Chordata; Actinopteri; Salmoniformes; Salmonidae. The record is from RefSeq and is a predicted model, not a curated record.